CUGUUAUGUUGCAAAAUAUUCUAGGCAAUAUCAUGCAACAGGACAAUUGCAAUAUAAGGAAAAAUGGGCUUUAAAUAAAUCAGUCCUUACUACCAGGGCCUGUAUAGCAGUAUUACAAAAGGAAAACUGUUUCCUCAAUUACAGUAAGCUGUAGCUCAUCCUCUGACUCUUCUCUGCCUGAAUGUGCACAGAGAAACAUCUGCACAGCCUUUGCUCUGCAGAGAGGCUCCUCUGAAGGUGCCCCUUGCACACAAACCAGACCCUGGAUGUUCUCACACUUACGUCAGUUAACGUUGCCUGGUGCUGGAGGUGGCAUUGGGCAUAACCCAGCUUAUUAUGGCUGCUAUAUGGAUUGGCUUUGUGUGAAUGACCAUCUCCAUAUGCUGGCAAUAUCAAAGGUUCCUCUUUCCACCUCUCUUUGGACAGUGAUUGCUUCUCCUCCAUUUCUCCUGCUGUGUGCCAUGACAUGUCUUUUCUGCCGGUUCACAGGGAUGAGACUUUUAUAA
This 506-nucleotide long non-coding RNA is filed under the name Anser brachyrhynchus (Pink-footed goose). RNAcentral describes it as "lncRNA (ENSABRG00000018346.1)". Lineage: Eukaryota; Metazoa; Chordata; Aves; Anseriformes; Anatidae. The record is from RNAcentral.